RNAcentral lists this ribosomal RNA (501 nucleotides) under uncultured bacterium. Its description in RNAcentral is "partial 16S ribosomal RNA". It matches the Rfam family "Bacterial small subunit ribosomal RNA", at positions 30 to 523 of the family's 1533-position model. The record is from RNAcentral.
AUUGAACGCUGGCGGCAUGCCUUACACAUGCAAGUCGAACGGCAGCACGGGUGCUUGCACCUGGUGGCGAGUGGCGAACGGGUGAGUAAUAUAUCGGAACGUACCUUAUUGUGGGGGAUAACGCAGCGAAAGCUGUGCUAAUACCGCAUAAUCCCUAAGGGGGAAAGCGGGGGACCGUAACGCCUCGCGCAAUUAGAGCGGCCGAUACCUGAUUAGCUAGUUGGUGAGGUAAGGGCUCACCAAGGCAACGAUCAGUAGCUGGUCUGAGAGGACGAUCAGCCACACUGGGACUGAGACACGGCCCAGACUCCUACGGGAGGCAGCAGUGGGGAAUUUUGGACAAUGGGGGCAACCCUGAUCCAGCAAUGCCGCGUGAGUGAAGAAGGCCUUCGGGUUGUAAAGCUCUUUUGUCAGGGAAGAAACAGCAGCUCUAACACAGUAUGCGAAUGACGGUACCUGAAGAAUAAGCACCGGCUAACUACGUGCCAGCCGCCGCCGUAA